AUUGAACGCUGGCGGCAGGCCUAACACAUGCAAGUCGAGCGGAUGAAGGGAGCUUGCUCCUGGAUUCAGCGGCGGACGGGUGAGUAAUGCCUAGGAAUCUGCCUGGUAGUGGGGGAUAACGUCCGGAAGCGGGCGCUAAUACCGCAUAAGUCCUGAGGGAGUAAGGGGGGGAUCUUCGGACCUCACGCUAUCAGAUGAGCCUAGGUCGGAUUAGCUAGUUGGUGGGGUAAAGGCCUACCAAGGCGACGAUCCGUAACUGGUCUGAGAGGAUGAUCAGUCACACUGGAACUGAGACACGGUCCAGACUCCUACGGGAGGCAGCAGUGGGGAAUAUUGGACAAUGGGCGAAAGCCUGAUCCAGCCAUGCCGCGUGUGUGAAGAAGGUCUUCGGAUUGUAAAGCACUUUAAGUUGGGAGGAAGGGCAGUAAGUUAAUACCUUGCUGUUUUGACGUUACCAACAGAAUAAGCACCGGCUAACUUCGUG
RNAcentral lists this ribosomal RNA (484 nucleotides) under uncultured bacterium. Its description in RNAcentral is "partial 16S ribosomal RNA". It matches the Rfam family "Bacterial small subunit ribosomal RNA", at positions 30 to 507 of the family's 1533-position model. The record is from RNAcentral.